RNAcentral lists this ribosomal RNA (254 nucleotides) under uncultured bacterium. RNAcentral's name for it is "partial 16S ribosomal RNA". It matches the Rfam family "Bacterial small subunit ribosomal RNA", at positions 524 to 776 of the family's 1533-position model. The record is from RNAcentral.
UACGGGGGGGGCAAGCGUUGUUCGGAUUCAUUGGGCGUAAAGAGCGCGCAGGCGGUUUGGUAAGUCGGAUGUGAAAACCCGGGGCUCAACCCCGGGCGUGCAUCUCGAUACUGCCCGACUAGAGGUAGGUAGGGGAGAUCGGAAUUCCUGGUGUAGCGGUGAAAUGCGCAGAUAUCAGGAGGAACACCGGUGGCGAAGGCGGAUCUCUGGGCCUUACCUGACGCUCAGGCGCGAAAGCUAGGGGAGCGAACAGG